UUAAGCGACUAAGCGUACACGGUGGAUGCCCUGGCAGUCAGAGGCGAUGAAGGACGUGCUAAUCUGCGAUAAGCGUCGGUAAGGUGAUAUGAACCGUUAUAACCGGCGAUUUCCGAAUGGGGAAACCCAGUGUGUUUCGACACACUAUCAUUAACUGAAUCCAUAGGUUAAUGAGGCGAACCGGGGGAACUGAAACAUCUAAGUACCCCGAGGAAAAGAAAUCAACCGAGAUUCCCCCAGUAGCGGCGAGCGAACGGGGAGGAGCCCAGAGCCUGAAUCAGUGUGUGUGUUAGUGGAAGCGUCUGGAAAGGCGCGCGAUACAGGGUGACAGCCCCGUACACAAAAAUGCACAUACUGUGAGCUCGAUGAGUAGGGCGGGACACGUGGUAUCCUGUCUGAAUAUGGGGGGACCAUCCUCCAAGGCUAAAUACUCCUGACUGACCGAUAGUGAACCAGUACCGUGAGGGAAAGGCGAAAAGAACCCCGGCGAGGGGAGUGAAAAAGAACCUGAAACCGUGUACGUACAAGCAGUGGGAGCACGCUUCGGCGUGUGACUGCGUACCUUUUGUAUAAUGGGUCAGCGACUUAUAUUCUGUAGCAAGGUUAACCGAAUAGGGGAGCCGAAGGGAAACCGAGUCUUAACUGGGCGUUAAGUUGCAGGGUAUAGACCCGAAACCCGGUGAUCUAGCCAUGGGCAGGUUGAAGGUUGGGUAACACUAACUGGAGGACCGAACCGACUAAUGUUGAAAAAUUAGCGGAUGACUUGUGGCUGGGGGUGAAAGGCCAAUCAAACCGGGAGAUAGCUGGUUCUCCCCGAAAGCUAUUUAGGUAGCGCCUCGUGAAUUCAUCUCCGGGGGUAGAGCACUGUUUCGGCAAGGGGGUCAUCCCGACUUACCAACCCGAUGCAAACUGCGAAUACCGGAGAAUGUUAUCACGGGAGACACACGGCGGGUGCUAACGUCCGUCGUGAAGAGGGAAACAACCCAGACCGCCAGCUAAGGUCCCAAAGUCAUGGUUAAGUGGGAAACGAUGUGGGAAGGCCCAGACAGCCAGGAUGUUGGCUUAGAAGCAGCCAUCAUUUAAAGAAAGCGUAAUAGCUCACUGGUCGAGUCGGCCUGCGCGGAAGAUGUAACGGGGCUAAACCAUGCACCGAAGCUGCGGCAGCGACGCUUAUGCGUUGUUGGGUAGGGGAGCGUUCUGUAAGCCUGCGAAGGUGUACUGUGAGGUAUGCUGGAGGUAUCAGAAGUGCGAAUGCUGACAUAAGUAACGAUAAAGCGGGUGAAAAGCCCGCUCGCCGGAAGACCAAGGGUUCCUGUCCAACGUUAAUCGGGGCAGGGUGAGUCGACCCCUAAGGCGAGGCCGAAAGGCGUAGUCGAUGGGAAACAGGUUAAUAUUCCUGUACUUGGUGUUACUGCGAAGGGGGGACGGAGAAGGCUAUGUUGGCCGGGCGACGGUUGUCCCGGUUUAAGCGUGUAGGCUGGUUUUCCAGGCAAAUCCGGAAAAUCAAGGCUGAGGCGUGAUGACGAGGCACUACGGUGCUGAAGUAACAAAUGCCCUGCUUCCAGGAAAAGCCUCUAAGCAUCAGGUAACAUCAAAUCGUACCCCAAACCGACACAGGUGGUCAGGUAGAGAAUACCAAGGCGCUUGAGAGAACUCGGGUGAAGGAACUAGGCAAAAUGGUGCCGUAACUUCGGGAGAAGGCACGCUGAUAUGUAGGUGAAGCGACUUGCUCGUGGAGCUGAAAUCAGUCGAAGAUACCAGCUGGCUGCAACUGUUUAUUAAAAACACAGCACUGUGCAAACACGAAAGUGGACGUAUACGGUGUGACGCCUGCCCGGUGCCGGAAGGUUAAUUGAUGGGGUUAGCGGUAACGCGAAGCUCUUGAUCGAAGCCCCGGUAAACGGCGGCCGUAACUAUAACGGUCCUAAGGUAGCGAAAUUCCUUGUCGGGUAAGUUCCGACCUGCACGAAUGGCGUAAUGAUGGCCAGGCUGUCUCCACCCGAGACUCAGUGAAAUUGAACUCGCUGUGAAGAUGCAGUGUACCCGCGGCAAGACGGAAAGACCCCGUGAACCUUUACUAUAGCUUGACACUGAACAUUGAGCCUUGAUGUGUAGGAUAGGUGGGAGGCUUUGAAGUGUGGACGCCAGUCUGCAUGGAGCCGACCUUGAAAUACCACCCUUUAAUGUUUGAUGUUCUAACGUUGGCCCCUAAUCGGGGUUGCGGACAGUGUCUGGUGGGUAGUUUGACUGGGGCGGUCUCCUCCUAAAGAGUAACGGAGGAGCACGAAGGUUGGCUAAUCCUGGUCGGACAUCAGGAGGUUAGUGCAAUGGCAUAAGCCAGCUUGACUGCGAGCGUGACGGCGCGAGCAGGUGCGAAAGCAGGUCAUAGUGAUCCGGUGGUUCUGAAUGGAAGGGCCAUCGCUCAACGGAUAAAAGGUACUCCGGGGAUAACAGGCUGAUACCGCCCAAGAGUUCAUAUCGACGGCGGUGUUUGGCACCUCGAUGUCGGCUCAUCACAUCCUGGGGCUGAAGUAGGUCCCAAGGGUAUGGCUGUUCGCCAUUUAAAGUGGUACGCGAGCUGGGUUUAGAACGUCGUGAGACAGUUCGGUCCCUAUCUGCCGUGGGCGCUGGAGAACUGAGGGGGGCUGCUCCUAGUACGAGAGGACCGGAGUGGACGCAUCACUGGUGUUCGGGUUGUCAUGCCAAUGGCACUGCCCGGUAGCUAAAUGCGGAAGAGAUAAGUGCUGAAAGCAUCUAAGCACGAAACUUGCCCCGAGAUGAGUUCUCCCUGACUCCUUGAGAGUCCUGAAGGAACGUUGAAGACGACGACGUUGAUAGGCCGGGUGUGUAAGCGCAGCGAUGCGUUGAGCUAACCGGUACUAAUGAACCGUGAGGCUUAACCUU
RNAcentral lists this ribosomal RNA (2904 nucleotides) under Escherichia coli. RNAcentral's name for it is "23S ribosomal RNA". It matches the Rfam family "Bacterial large subunit ribosomal RNA". Lineage: Bacteria; Pseudomonadati; Pseudomonadota; Gammaproteobacteria; Enterobacterales; Enterobacteriaceae. The record is from RNAcentral.